AAGAGGCUAAUGGUGGAGCAUGGAGGUGGGGGGGGGGUUAAACAUAAUGGUUCUAGAGUAGGACUGCCUGGGUUCAAACCUGUACUUUUCAUUUAAUGCUCCUAUAACUUUGAACAAAGUUACUUAAUGCAUCUGGGUCUGUUUUCUCAUCUGUAUAAGUGAGAUACAGAUGCUUCAAAGAGCUGCUGUAGGUAUUAAAUGCGGCAUUGCAUGUAAUGUGUGUGGAAGCAAAAGGAAGCAGAGGAUGACACAGGAAAGUGAAAAAGGAACGAAACUUCUGGUGGCUCAGGCCCAGGCUGCACAGAUGCUGAAAGCUGACCCUGGCUUUGGAGAAUGGCGCAAGAGCUUAAAGACAUAAAAGGAGGAGCAAGUUGUUCCAAGCAAAGACAGGACUUUGGCAAGGAACAUGAAACUCAAGAUGCCUUCACUUAUUAUAAACUUGAUGCAUUAUUAUAGGUGAGAAAGAUUUGCAACUGGGAGGACUCAUUGUUCUUUGGAUGGCUGCUGUUUCUUUAAAUUGGGUGAAAAAACUGUACAGUUGCUGAGUCAGAUGAUCUGGCAGCCUCGGAGAUUCAGAGCAAGAAAAUGGUGGCACUCAUAAAAAAAGAAAAGAAAAGAAAGCAAAACAUAAGCUUCCUUAAUACAUCUGCAAAGGGAAGUGUUUAAACACAAGGAAAGCUGCAGUAUGGGAAGAAAACAGUUGAGAGAACAAUUUGAGGCAAAUUCUUCAUCACUGGAAAAACUUCUUACUCCAUCCUCCAUUCCGUCUUGUACCCCAGAAAGAGGAACAAAGAGAAGAAGGCCUUUCAACACUCGCUGGCGGCCAACUGGCGCGUAAGGGAUUGGCUGCCGAGUUUUGGACACUUUCCUCGAAUGAACCUGACCCAUUCCGCUCCACCCCUCCAGAAAAAAGGCCUGGCCAGUUCCAAGCUGGGGAGAUGACCAAGAGACCUCCUCGUCAUUCCUUGCACCCCUCCUGAAUCCGAGAGGCCCCCACUUCGUCCUCCACCUAGUUGGGCCCCAAUCCCGCUCUAAGCAUCAGUCACUGUUAACGCAGAUCACAUCUUACCCGAGGAAACAGUUGGGGUGUGGGUCGAGGCCCAGGGCGGUUAACAACAGAAGGGGUGCAUUCGCGGAGUGGGGUGAUCAGUGGGCUAUGCCUCUAAACUCUUGCUACGGGGUCCUACCCCAGCGGCCAGUUAAAUCUCUGGGAUCCGCAGCGUCUCUAGAAAUUGAGAGGGUGGGGAGAUGGGGUCGAGGAGGGUGGUCGCAGCUAGGAGGUGGGGGAGGCUAGGUCGGUGCAGCUUUGAGUCUCGCUUCCUAGGUAGACUCUCUCUGUGGUCCUGGGGGAGGCCCUUUGCAACCCCAGCCAGGCUGUGGGAGGCGGUGAGCCCCAGUUUGAAAUUGUCCGGAGAGGACUAGGGAGAGGGAUUCCUAGAAGGGGGCAAGUUAUGUGACCAGAGGCCUAAUACCCAAGCUCUUUGGAAAUAGACAUAGCUAUGCGUUUAUAGUCUAUGUAAAAACGAACUAGGUUGUGAAUAGGCACAGCGAGCAUUGGUCUGAAGUCACAACUCUCUCGUGCUUUCUCCAGACCUUACCAGAACCUUGUUAUUUAUGAUCCUUGCACAACUCAGUUUCUUCACUGCCCAGCCCCCCCCCCCAAACAAUCUAAGGCUAAGCAAGCUCUCAGUUCAUCCUUAAUGCAUGAUCAUUUCAGGGUUUGAAAAUGACUAUAUAUAUAUAUUUAUAUAUAUUUACUGGUGCUGGUCAUAACUUCUUGAAAAACUCAAAAGUAUAACGAAGAAAUUAAAGAUCACCAAUCCCAAUCCCCUCAUCCUGAGGAAAACACUAUAAAAAUUUUUGUACAAAAACAGAGUGUAUGUGUGUGUCCAGAGAGAGGAAAGGAGGAAAAAUGAGAAUAAGAAUUGUUUACUGUUUUGAAUCUUGAAAAAUCAUCUAAAUUUAUAAUGUAAUCAUUUCACAUUCUACUAAAUAUUCUUCAAAGACACGAUGCUUAUCUAGUAUUCCAGAGUGCAGAAUAUUCCAGACCAUUAUUCCAGAGCAUAGUUUUGUACCACAAUUUAACAUCUUGUUGCUAGAAUGUAAGGCAAUUUUCAAUUUCUUGCUACUAUUUGUCUGUAUUAACCUUUGUCAGAAUCUUUCUUUCAUUGGAUGAUGCCCACACAGAGAAUACAAAUGUAUGGAUGUUUUUUCUGAUUAAAAAAAAAUUUUUUUUAAGUCAGCUCUAUGCCCAACAUGGGGCUUGAACUUGCAAGUCACAUCCUCUGUGGACUGAGCCAACCAGGUACCCCCAAAAAUGUAUGGAUAUUUUAGAAGUUCUUCAUACCUACAGUAAAAAUAUCCUUGCCAGUGAGGGGUUUAAGAAGUGCAUUAAUAGCUAUCAUUAUGUGACAAUGAGAAUUUAGAGAAUUGUAGCUUUUUAAAAAAGUUAGUAAAUAACUAUAAUUUUAUAUUUAUAAAGUGAAAGAAUAUCCAUUGUUUACAUAAUUUAAACUGUAGAAAUAAAGCAUCACAACUUUUUUUUUAAUCAGGUUAGAUUUUGCUGCAGACAGAAGGAUUCUCUGGCCCAAGGAGUUUUAGUGUGGAGGGGAUGAGUGAGAUUGUUAUGCUUCUCAAAAAGGAAGAAAAAUUGUGAAGAAUAAAAAUACUGGGUCAAAUGUUCAGCUAAGAAA
This is a long non-coding RNA of Felis catus (domestic cat), 2693 nucleotides long. RefSeq lists it as uncharacterized. The transcript has 4 exons. Lineage: Eukaryota; Metazoa; Chordata; Mammalia; Carnivora; Felidae. The record is from RefSeq and is a predicted model, not a curated record.